RNAcentral lists this long non-coding RNA (4125 nucleotides) under Megachile rotundata (alfalfa leafcutting bee). RNAcentral's name for it is "uncharacterized LOC105662532". The record is from RNAcentral. Lineage: Eukaryota; Metazoa; Arthropoda; Insecta; Hymenoptera; Megachilidae.
UUGUUGUAUACCUAUACCCGAUUACCUGUGAGUAGCACAGGUAAACGCGAUCACAUGUAGCUGCCUCGACCGAUGUCCUCGCGUGUCAUUUUAUUGUAACGAGACAAAAAAUAAUUAGACAGAAUUAUUAAACUAUUCCCGCUGUAACCGUAAAAUAGCAUCCAUCGCCGUGUUAACUUUCAACAAACGAGGCAUUGCAAACGAAAUAAGAUAUAAUCAAUCCAUAAAUAACGUAACUAGCGAUAACUCCGUGACGGCGAAAAGUAUUUUUUAUCGAAUAUCGUGUUACAAUUAUUUGAAUGAACCAUCCUCGUAUUUAUCUGUACCUUUAUCGUUCAACUUUAACUAUGCUACGACGGAACAAGGAGAAAACGGACAUCCGAAGGAGGAUCCGAAAUAAAAUUCACGACCAACCGUAUAUAAAUCAUACGUCGAGUCAGUCGAUUUUUCUAAGAGGACAAAAUUAGGUAUCCAAAUAUCCAGAACCGGAUGGAAGGUACGCAGUCUCAUGCAUAUACGAGCGUUCCUUUUGCUUCUUCGUGUAAGUACACCGUUCUAUGGUCUUAUAUAUGCAUCCACUGGUACGUGGUUAGCUUACUGAUUAAUUAUUCUUCCAUGAGUUUUUUCUUCUUUCCUCUGUCGAUGGGCUGGUCACUGGUCACGUGAAUACGACGGCGAAGAAAGAGGAGGAAAACAAACGAGAGGAACUAUCGUUCGAAAUGUUUACGAGGGUAAUAAACGUUUUACCCUUGCUAAAGAAUAGAAGAAGGAGGAACGAAGAAGGAACCUCGCAAGAAGUAGGCCGUGCAAAUGAGGUAGUCUGUUGAGCAGCUCUGCAACUAAAAAAGCCAGUCGACUGCUAAUUGAAGAACAAACAAGUACAGUUCAACGCGAGAUUCGGUUUAGAGUUUAGAGAAUCUCGUUCGCGAUGAAAUUAUUCGUAUAGCGAAAUAUAGACCAAUUCGUAUAGACCAAUCUCGAACAGGAAGAAAUUUGUCAACAAUAGCCAAGAAACACGUUUUCCAAACCGAUUUAAUCUUCUCGCGAUGCAAAAUCGACCGAUUAUUCGAUUAUAAUAGUACAUGGCAAAUCGAUGCAUCUAAUUGCAAGCCUACUAUAUCGAUUAUUAAAAAUAGCGAUUAACUUUAAUUGAGAAGCGAACGAUAACAAGUUGCGUCUGCUAAAUUCUCGAGCACCUGGCUAUUUUACAGACGAUUCAUAAUUGACCAGCACCUUAAUUUGCAAGCUCUCGAUACAAUUAUCGUUAGAAGAUUCGUUGGAACCGCUUUAUUAACACCUGAGAACUCGACUUAACGCGUUAACUGUUAAAUAUUCAGAAGAGAGGGAGAGAUAUAUAAAUGUAUUAGAAAAAAGUUGUUUAUUAUAAUAAUACAAAAUAUAUUACUUGUUAUAAACGAGUAAUAUUCUCGAAAAAUCCUUACCUCCGUUACAGUAGUUUCUCUUACGUUUAUAAGAAGUUUCGAUUUUUUAGUUUCACCUUCGAAUCUGCUGUUCCGAUCGAUUCACUGUUUCAUCGAAUCACUUGAACAAGGAGAUACAUUGUUAUACUCUGUUAAAAGAGAAAUAAAAAGAAAAAUUAAAACGGAAAUCAAUGUAAACCACGACACUUAACUGUUAGAUCACGAGAAAUGGUAAAAGAAUAUAUUGUUUCAGCCGAUCGAGACCGAAAAGAUUUUUUAUCUGAACAAUAUCUCUUUUGCUUAUCGCUUAACUGUGACUGAUAAUUCUCUUUUUUUUCGCUCCGUCCUGUUUCGGUCGAUUUAACACCUGGCUCCACGGGUACUAUUAACACGGCACGUUUCGCGAAUCGACACAUCGUUUAUACCAUAUACGGUGAAACGGUAAGAAAUCAUCGACGAACAGAACUGCGAGUCUUCUAGCGGACACUACGAUCCGUUUGCGAAUCAGUGUCGCGACCACGAAAGACGCGGGCUCGCUUCAACCAGGAAAUCGUUCUCGCCUUACAGGAUGCCAGUGCGUCAAUAUUGACACGUUUUUUUACGAAACAUAACGACGGAGAAAUAGAGAGAAGAAGAGAGAAGAAGAGAGAAUCGGAUCUCGACGAUCCUCGAUCUUUCAAAAGAGUAAACAAUUCUCUCUUCGAAGUGUAUCAUGCUUUUAGAUUGUAUCUUCGUCUAUUUAUUUCGAAAGUAAUGACGCGUAAAUUGUUUAUCUACCAUGUUUUCGCUUCAUCGUUCAUAAGUAUCAAGUUGCUCCUUUAAAAUGUUCAAAAUAUACAAAUUCAUAAUUUUCAACUUUUGUAUAUUCGAAUUUUCGACAUUCGAAUGUUCGACUAGUCGAAUUCUCAAGUUUCAAGUUUCAAACUAAUCUCUUAUUUUCGAUGGAAUUUACAAUUCUCUUUCUUUAACUUUAUUCAUAUUGUGCGUCACUCGCACACGGACGAGCUAUCCGUCUUCGUACGUUUUAAAAUGUAAGUCGAAAUCUGAUUCACCCACGGAACAUGCGUAAUCGGUAUAGUUAAGAAAUCGAAAACUGAUUUAAUCGUUCAAUGAACAAUAACGUCGUUAACGAACCGUCUUUUAGUUAUACAUGUAGGAAGUUUCCGCAACAGAAACAAAAUUCCCUUAUCGCACUACUCGGAAAAUUUUCACUCGCUUUUUAACAUUAUCAGGCGUUGGUAUCUUUAAUAAGAAGAAUACCCAAUUAACAAACACUGAUUUAAUUAAAGCAUCAAAAAAAGGGAUCAUCGAAACAACAAGUUAAAUACUCAACUUUUUUAUUGUUCGUUCCCUGUGUUAACUUUUGCUUAUUUAACAAGAAUCGCUAUGUAACAAUAGUAACAUACAUAGUAAACAUAAUACUGUAACUAUUUACAAGUUUCUAGAAAAAAAAGAAACAAACAAAUUUAACAAAUUUAUAAUACUCGUUUAUGGUAAUUAAUUCAACAUCGAUCAAAUAAAACCUAUCUAAUUUGAGCAACUUCCAAUAAAUUCGUUACGAGAUCCUUUGUAACGUAAUUGAACAAUAAAUUACAAAUCUAUAACAAUGUGCGUGUAAUUAAAACAUCUUAACUAAACAAUCGAACAAUUAACUUUGUGCAAAGUAAUAAAUUAGAGUAAUAAUAAAAUAUUAACAAGAGAAUGAUUUGUACAAUCAAAUUUGGUAUAAUAAUCUAGGAAUAAGAUUUAUACAAUGAGAAUGUUGUAAAAAAAUUCUCACUAUACGAAUGUACAAUUAAAAUUGUCAUCGAUCAAGUAAAUAUCAAAGAAUCAAAUCGAUACGAGUAAAAAUGUCGAUAGUUACAAUUUUUUCAUUCAAAGAUUUUCGUUUACGGUGUAUAUCGGUGAUCGUUGAUAUUGAGUUCCAAUUGAUGUUUAUCAAACGUUUAAUAGUACAAAAUUAAAUUUUCUUAAUUCUCUCUUUUUCUAUAUAACAAGCAGCAAACGUAUACACGUUUCUAAUACGCUAUCUUUUCGCAACAAUGUAAAAGUAAUAUUUUCGUAUUGUAACGUAUUACAUUAUUCCCUAUUAAUACUUUGAACUUACUUCUGGCUACGUAAUUGGCUAUCAAUAUUGGCGUUACUUACAAUUAAAUUAGAAGCUAUAAUCGCUUCGAUAAACGUUUCUCGAGUAAAUUGCAUUCCUCUUUGAAACUGUAUUCUAAUCGUAGAUAUGACGUUUAAUUCGGUCAACUAUAAUUAUCUAUUUAUCCCAUAUGCAAUUCAAAUAAUAAAUUCUAACGACUAUUGCCUACAAUAUCGUACAACGAUCAACUAUUAUAAAACAAAGAUAAUUAACAUAGGUUCAGUCUCUAUGCAACAAUAAAUACUAAAAACAAAACGAUUCUUCUUUCUAAAAUAUAACUAUGUAUUAAGCAUCUGUCCAAAAAAACAAUUAUCAUUGUCUAUAUAUGUAUAAUAAAACAGCUGUGAAAGCACUUGCUUCGCUUAACAAAACCCUAGUCGAAGGAAUAAAUAACUAUAGAAUUCAACAACGCGGAAAAGGUCCAAGUUACGCUAAAUUAAACUCGAAAGGAAUAUUACUAAUAAAUAAUUAUUAUGAUCCGGUAACGAGAAUAUGAUCAAGCAGAUUUUGUCGUUUGGUCUUCUUUUUCUUCUUCUUCUUCUUCUUCGACUAGAAGAA